Molecule: non-coding RNA, 1473 nt
Organism: Meleagris gallopavo (turkey)
Lineage: Eukaryota; Metazoa; Chordata; Aves; Galliformes; Phasianidae
Source: RefSeq, a predicted model, not a curated record
AAAAAGUUGAAAUCUGACAGAUGUUUUUCACUGAGCUCUUCCUGAAGCAGCAGACUGCUGGGGCUGAGCCAGUGCUGCAGACCUGGGAAAACCUGCAGCAUGUAGUGCUUUUGGUUGUCCAAGGCUGCUUCCUUCCAGGGGGCACAUCCUGCAGCACAGCCCACUCCUGCAUGCUGUGUCCUAGUGCUCAUUCUGGGAUGCAUCAUUCUGGGAUGCAUCCUUGGCCUCUGCUUCCCUGACCACAAGAUUUCACACACUAUUUGGACAGCAGGAAGAGCUUCCCGCUCUUCUCAAGAUGAAAGAAUGAAAUCUGCUCAUAGAUAACUAAAAGGCAGAGGGAGAGGCAUCUCCAGGAUGUGCAGCUGCUCAGAAGCACAGACGGAGAGAUGCACCACCCUCCUCGAGGCUAGAGCAAUAUUGGGCGAGCCCAUGAGAUGUCAACUUUCCAGCUGGAGAAAAGUAGCACAUGGCCGUUGGAGGAACAGGAGUCAACAUGGUGUCAGGGUGCAAGCUGGAGAUAUGAGAGCUGGAGCAGUGGCUGUGCAGAAUGCUGUUACAGGGAAAAUAACAGUGUACUAAUGCAUGUAGGAGAGAAACAUCUAUAUGGCAGAGAAAGGAACGAUGAUUUGGGCAAUGUAGGAACCAUGCUGCAGCGCAAAGGCAACAGACAAAGCAGCCAGAGGGAAGGUCGUGGUCCUCUGUGCCACAUGAAGGGCUCAGUUCUGCUGGCAGCAGCAACAGAAAUUCAGAGAGCAGCAAGAACUCAGCAGUCAAGAAAUGCACGUUAUAGGAAAUUCCCAUCCAGCCAGGCGUGCAGCAGUGCCCAGUGCGGGGACACAACCCUGGACAGCAGUCUCCAGUAACAGUGCUGAGGUCAGCAGCAACCCUGAAGCAGCAUCAGCCAGGAGAAAGGCCACUUGUUCACCUGGCAGUCUUCUUUCUGAUCAGUACAAAACCAUAUUCUGAAAGCCACCUGCUUCCAAACUGCCCACCCCUCCCCCCACGGCCCCGUAACCCAGCCAAGUACUGCUGCAGGGAUUCUCAGAUGCUUCUCCCGUCUCUCAGAAGGAAGGGCACACACCAGUCACCCAGCCUGACCUCUGUAAUAUGUCAACCCCUCUAACUCCUGUGUGCACAUAUGGGUGACACAGGAGCACUCCAAGGCUGCAGGCUGGCUGCCAAGCCACAGCAGCUGCCUUCAAGGAGCAGAAGCUGUGUGGGAGCAGGAGGACAUACAUCCUCAGUCGCUCCUAUUUCUUGCCGGCGUGCAAUGAGGGAAGGCAGGGACUCUCGGCCCUCCUUUGGGACAUGUGAUGUCAGCAGAAAGCCAUCGCUCCUUCGCCAGCACCGCUGGCACCUCAGCUCCUGUGACCCAGCAUCCUCCCAGCCAUCUCCCAACAGCCCUCCCCUGCGCAGUCUGCUUUGCGCACAGCCCUGUGCCCUUUCCAAUUAAAGAGACCCGCUCUUCUCUCC